UUGGACUGAAGGGUGCUCCCU
Molecule: microRNA, 21 nt
Filed under: Brachypodium distachyon (stiff brome)
Lineage: Eukaryota; Viridiplantae; Streptophyta; Magnoliopsida; Poales; Poaceae
Description: bdi-miR319b-3p
Gene: bdi-miR319b-3p
Source: miRBase by way of RNAcentral